Molecule: long non-coding RNA, 1682 nt
Filed under: Arachis ipaensis
Lineage: Eukaryota; Viridiplantae; Streptophyta; Magnoliopsida; Fabales; Fabaceae
Description: long non-coding RNA (AIPA_LNC001684)
Source: RNAcentral
GUCUUGCUGCAACCAUCGUCACUGCCAUAAGAGAUUGACAAUGCUGCUGCUUUAGUUACGUGCUUGCUGCUGCCAUAAAAAUUAGAAGAAAAGGGAGUUACCACGUUUAAUCUAUGUGAAUUCAACUAAUCGAGGUAGGGAUUUUUCUUAAAAUCUAAUUUACAUUACAGAGUUGUGAUAAAUAGAUAUUGAUGCAAAAAGAUAUAUUUCUGUAAUUAUAUUUGUCUUGUGGAUGUAAUGGAUUGUUGGACUGGAUUAUUGGGUGCUUGAUUGCUUGAGUGAAGUACGGUUGUUGUUAAGAAAUGGAUUUGGAAAGUUAUUUACUUGAUUAUUAUGAAAAGUGAUUUUUCUUGGUUUGAAGUUAAACCGGUUUGAUUUUGAGUCGGUUUGAUUUUAUAAAUAAUUUAAUACUUGAGCUGGUUUGGCUUUAUAAAGAGUUUUAUUAUUGGAAUUGGUCUGAUUUUGAAAAUACUUUGAUAUUGGAAUUGUUUGAGAUUUGGAAAUGGUUGAGAAAAGGUUUGAAAAGUGUUUGGAUGGGACCCGAAAAGGGUGGCAGUGUCCGAGUUUUAGAGGAGAUGCUGUCAAAAUUUUAUAAAAUUGGAAGUUUUAUUUAAAGUAACUAAUUACAAAGAUUUUUUUUAAGCAUUAUACGUUUUAAGAUUGAUUUGCCUAUCAAAGAAAGAAUUUUGUUUUGGGAUUGAGAUUGUUAACGAACAGAAUGAAAAAGAGGAGGAUGAGGAUUUUAUUUGAAAUAUGGCUUUGAAAUGAACUUGGAAAUGAGAUUUGGAUUGAUAAAUGAUUAUGAUGUUGAGAAUGUUGAGAUGUGAACUUGGAAUUAUUCAUAUGGCUUAUGAAUUUGAAAUAUCUGAGAUACGAGGUUCCCUGGAUUAAGUGCCGUGGCUUGCCACCACGUGUACCAGGUUGAAAACUCGAUAUUCUGUUGACCCUACGAUGUAAGUGGGUGACCGGACACUAUAUAAAUUCCCGGGAAUGUUACCCCCAUUGAGUAAUAUUGAUUGUUUGAGAAAAAGCUAUGCAUAGACUCUUGGGGAUGCACGUCGGGGGAUAGUCUAAGUACAAUUCAGACUUGUCGGGUUGGCUGGAUAACCGACAGAUGAGCCUCAUCAGCCAUAGGACAGGCAUGCAUCAUAUGCAUUUGUAUGCUUUGCUUGGGUUUGAACUUGUUUUGGUUGGCCUAGUUGCUAAACUGUUCUUAACUGCUACUUGAACUAUUUGCUGUAACUGCUACCUGCUUGUGUUUUCCUUGUCUGUCUUGCCUGUGUUUGUCCUGGCGUGCUACAUUUGAGAAUGAACUUGGAUGCUGAAUUAAUGAUUGUGUUGUUUGAUUGCGUGGUUGACUUCUGAUUGAGAUUUUCUUAUAAGAAAGGAAAGAUUUUGAAUUUCUGAAAGAUUAAACAUUGUUUCUUUGAAAAGGGUUUUGAACGAUUUCCUAUUGGUUUUAAAAGAUUCAUAAGGCAAUGAUAAUCACUGAGCUUGAAAACAGUUUCUUAUUAAAUAUCUUCUUAUGACAACUUUGAAACUCCGUGGUGAGACCGUGUGGUUAGGUUCUCACCCCCUUACAGCUUUACCUUUUCAGGAACCAGAUGAAGAAGCAUUAAGAAGAGUUAUACUACGUUUGGUUUAUAUGUUGUUGUAUUAAUUAGAUUAUUUUUUUCCCCUCG